AAAGUGCUUGCUUUGUGCAUUAAAAUUGGAACGCUACAGGAAAGAUGAGCAUGGCCCCUGCUGAAGGAAGACACACGCUGCAUGGGGUGCCCGCAGUUCCCUUUCCUU
Small nuclear RNA from Oryctolagus cuniculus (rabbit), 108 nucleotides. The record is from Ensembl. NCBI's taxonomy places the organism in Eukaryota, Metazoa, Chordata, Mammalia, Lagomorpha, Leporidae.